UACGGGAGAUGCGAGCGUUAUCCGGAUUUAUUGGGUUUAAAGGGUGCGUAGGCGGCGCUUCAGGUCAGCGGUGAAAUACCGGGGCUCAACCCCGGCGAGCCGUUGAAACUGCCGUGCUAGAGAGGAAGAGAAGUAGGCGGAAUGCGCAGUGUAGCGGUGAAAUGCUUAGAUAUUGCGCAGAACUCCGAUUGCGAAGGCAGCCUACCGGCUUCUGUCUGACGCUGAGGCACGAAAGCGUGGGUAUCGAACAGG
Molecule: ribosomal RNA, 252 nt
Filed under: uncultured Bacteroidales bacterium
Lineage: Bacteria; Pseudomonadati; Bacteroidota; Bacteroidia; Bacteroidales
Description: partial 16S ribosomal RNA
Rfam family: Bacterial small subunit ribosomal RNA
Source: RNAcentral